RNAcentral lists this non-coding RNA (30 nucleotides) under Homo sapiens (human). The record is from RNAcentral. Lineage: Eukaryota; Metazoa; Chordata; Mammalia; Primates; Hominidae.
UGGUCAAGGUCCUAGCUACUNGAAAACAGU